This 96-nucleotide transfer RNA is filed under the name SAR116 cluster bacterium. RNAcentral describes it as "tRNA-Gln(ttg)". Lineage: Bacteria; Pseudomonadati; Pseudomonadota; Alphaproteobacteria; Puniceispirillales (SeqCode). The record is from RNAcentral.
CGUUGCCAAUGGCACAAUUCAGACAGUGCUUGGUGUUUUUGAAGCACCAGAGGACUGUGUGGAAGGCCAGCAGGUUCAGAUUGUUAUUCGCUAUGA